GCUAGUAAUCGCGGAUCAGCAUGCCGCGGUGAAUACGUUCCCGGGCCUUGUACACACCGCCCGUCACACCAUGAGAGUCGGGAACACCCGAAGUCCGUAGCCUAACAGCAAUGGGGGCGCGGCCGAAGGUGGGUUCGAUAAUUGGGUGAAGUCGUAACAAGGUAAC
RNAcentral lists this ribosomal RNA (166 nucleotides) under uncultured bacterium. Its description in RNAcentral is "partial 16S ribosomal RNA". It matches the Rfam family "Bacterial small subunit ribosomal RNA", at positions 1334 to 1500 of the family's 1533-position model. The record is from RNAcentral.